Molecule: ribosomal RNA, 230 nt
Filed under: uncultured bacterium
Lineage: Bacteria
Description: partial 16S ribosomal RNA
Rfam family: Bacterial small subunit ribosomal RNA
Source: RNAcentral
AAAGGGUCCGUAGGCGGUCAGAUAAGUCAGUGGUGAAAGCCCAUCGCUCAACGGUGGAACGGCCAUUGAUACUGUCUGACUUGAAUUAUUGGGAAGUAACUAGAAUAUGUAGUGUAGCGGUGAAAUGCUUAGAGAUUACAUGGAAUACCAAUUGCGAAGGCAGGUUACUACCAAUAUAUUGACGCUGAUGGACGAAAGCGUGGGUAGCGAACAGGAUUAGAUACCCGUGU